UUACAUACCUGGACGGGGUCAAUGGGCGAUCAGGAAGGCCCAUGGCCUAGGUGGGUGGCUUCCAUUGCACUUUGGAGGUGCACUUGCCUAACAUCUCCCCCUAGUGGGAGACUGUACGUCGUAAUUUGUGGUUGUGGGGGCUGUGUUCGCGCGGCCCCUG
RNAcentral lists this small nuclear RNA (160 nucleotides) under Morus notabilis. RNAcentral's name for it is "U1 spliceosomal RNA". It matches the Rfam family "U1 spliceosomal RNA". From Rfam's summary of the family: U1 is a small nuclear RNA (snRNA) component of the spliceosome (involved in pre-mRNA splicing). Its 5' end forms complementary base pairs with the 5' splice junction, thus defining the 5' donor site of an intron. Lineage: Eukaryota; Viridiplantae; Streptophyta; Magnoliopsida; Rosales; Moraceae. The record is from Rfam by way of RNAcentral.